GAAUACGUUCCCGGGCCUUGUACACACCGCCCGUCACACCACGAGAGUUUGCAACACCCGAAGUCGGUGAGGUAACCUAAACCACCCCAAAAAGUAUUACUUUUUGGGGACCCCGGUUGGGAGCCAGCCGCCGAAGGUGGGGUAGAUGAUUGGGGUGAAGUCGUAACAAGGUAUCCGUACCGGAAGGUGCGGAUGGAUCACCUCCUUUCUACGGAG
RNAcentral lists this ribosomal RNA (216 nucleotides) under Brevibacillus sp. LEMMJ03. Its description in RNAcentral is "partial 16S ribosomal RNA". It matches the Rfam family "Bacterial small subunit ribosomal RNA", at positions 1364 to 1533 of the family's 1533-position model. The record is from RNAcentral. Lineage: Bacteria; Bacillati; Bacillota; Bacilli; Caryophanales; Paenibacillaceae.